Long non-coding RNA from Lacerta agilis (Sand lizard), 281 nucleotides. RefSeq lists it as uncharacterized. The transcript is spliced from 3 exons. The record is from RefSeq and is a predicted model, not a curated record. Lineage: Eukaryota; Metazoa; Chordata; Lepidosauria; Squamata; Lacertidae.
AAAAAACCUGUUAACAACGCGCCGCCUUCCAGAUCGAUCCAUCGAUAGAUUCCCCUCCCAAUUAAGUUUGUCCAUCCUGAAGCUGGAGCUUAAGAGUUGCAGAUAUAGCCCCCAAACCACAAAAAAGCCUAUUUAACAGCACAGUCUGUGCAUGUUUACUCGGAAGUAGGCCCUAUUGCGGCUCUGUGUGCUCUCAGAUUCUCACCCCUGGUGGAAGCUUUGGGGCUGCAACCCUACAUCUACUUUCCUGGGUGUAAACCCUAUUGAAAUCACAUUUUCCC